Non-coding RNA from Rattus norvegicus (Norway rat), 400 nucleotides. NCBI's taxonomy places the organism in Eukaryota, Metazoa, Chordata, Mammalia, Rodentia, Muridae. The record is from RefSeq and is a predicted model, not a curated record.
UUCACAAGCUCCCUAUUCCCUCCUGCCUCCACCUGCCUCUAUGAGGUUGCUUCUCCACCCACCCACCCACCUUCUGCCUCAGUGCCCUAGCAUUCCCCUAUCCUGUGUCAUAAAGGCUCCACAGGACCAGAGUCUCCUUUCCCAGUGAUGCCAGACAUGUCAUCUUGAUAGAUGCAAAAGGAAAUCUUUGCCUUCAUCCAGUAUGCAAGCUGGUACAUCUGAGCUGAAAGGUCUACUUUUGCUUUUCUCUGUGGCUACUGGACCAAAUAAUUUUUCAAUUCCUCCAAGGCAUCUAUAUAUUAUGUCUAAAUUUCUUCAUGAGCUAGAAAGAAACCAUUCUGUAAAGAAAGAAAACGAAAAUACUUUUAAUAUUAACAUAUAAAAUAAAUGUAAAACUUAA